GACGAACGCUGGCGGCGUGCUUAACACAUGCAAGUCGAACGGAAAGGCCCUGCUUUUGUGGGGUGCUCGAGUGGCGAACGGGUGAGUAUCACGUGAGUAACCUGCCCUUGUCUUUGGGAUAACUUCAGGAAACUGGGGCUAAUAUCGGAUAGGAGCUCCUGCUGCAUGGUGGGGGUUGGAAAGUUUCGGCGGUUGGGGAUGGACUCGCGGCUUAUCAGCUUGUUGGUGGGGUAGUGGCUUACCAAGGCUUUGACGGGUAGCCGGCCUGAGAGGGUGACCGGCCACAUUGGGACUGAGAUACGGCCCAGACUCCUACGGGAGGCAGCAGUGGGGAAUAUUGCACACUGGGCGGAAGCCUGAUGCAGCAACGCCGCGUGCGGGAUGACGGCCUUCGGGGUGUAAACCGCUUUAGCCUGUGACGAAGCGUGAGUGACGGUAAUGGGUAAAGAAGCACCGGCUAACUACGUG
RNAcentral lists this ribosomal RNA (468 nucleotides) under uncultured bacterium. Its description in RNAcentral is "partial 16S ribosomal RNA". It matches the Rfam family "Bacterial small subunit ribosomal RNA", at positions 28 to 507 of the family's 1533-position model. The record is from RNAcentral.